This is a long non-coding RNA of Zingiber officinale, 167 nucleotides long. RefSeq lists it as uncharacterized. The transcript is spliced from 3 exons. The record is from RefSeq and is a predicted model, not a curated record. NCBI's taxonomy places the organism in Eukaryota, Viridiplantae, Streptophyta, Magnoliopsida, Zingiberales, Zingiberaceae.
UUUUUAACUCUUGCAGUGCACAAUUGUGGGGUUUUGUCGUUGCCUUUAUGCUGUUCAACAUCAAUGGAUCUAAUCUUUAUUUCUGGAUAGCUAUUAUUCCUGUUACGCUUGUCCUCUUGGUGGGUGCAAAGUUGCAGCAUGUUAUUGCAACUCUAGCACUGGAAAGU